Molecule: ribosomal RNA, 408 nt
Filed under: uncultured bacterium
Lineage: Bacteria
Description: partial 16S ribosomal RNA
Rfam family: Bacterial small subunit ribosomal RNA
Source: RNAcentral
GACGAACGCUGGCGGCGUGCCUAAUACAUGCAAGUCGAGCGAAGCGGCGGAUGGGUGAGUAACGCGUGGGUAACCUGCCCUUAAGUCUGGGAUACCAUUUGGAAACAGAUGCUAAUACCGGAUACUAAAGGAUGGACCUGCGAUGCAUUAGCUAGUUGGUAAGGUAACGGCUUACAUAGGCGAUGAUGCAGUGCUGGAUUGAUGGACUGAUCGGCCACCUUGGGACGUAUACACGGCCCAAACUCCUACGGGAGGCAGCAUUAGGGAAUCGUCCACAAUGGGCGGAAGGCUGAUGGAGAAACGGCGCGGGAGUGAACAAUGUUUUCAGAUCAUAAAGCUCUGUUGUUGGUGAAGCGGUAAUCAACCAGAAAGUCACGGCUAACUACGUGCCAGCAGCCGCGGUAAUAC